GCGGCAGCGGGAAAGUAGCUUGCUACUUUUGCCGGCGAGCGGCGGACGGGUGAGUAAUGCCUGGGGAUCUGCCCAGUCGAGGGGGAUAACAGUUGGAAACGACUGCUAAUACCGCAUACGCCCUACGGGGGAAAGCAGGGGACCUUCGGGCCUUGCGCGAUUGGAUGAACCCAGGUGGGAUUAGCUAGUUGGUGAGGUAAUGGCUCACCAAGGCGACGAUCCCUAGCUGGUCUGAGAGGAUGAUCAGCCACACUGGAACUGAGACACGGUCCAGACUCCUACGGGAGGCAGCAGUGGGGAAUAUUGCACAAUGGGGGAAACCCUGAUGCAGCCAUGCCGCGUGUGUGAAGAAGGCCUUCGGGUUGUAAAGCACUUUCAGCGAGGAGGAAAGGUUGGUAGCGAAUAACUGCC
This 411-nucleotide ribosomal RNA is filed under the name Aeromonas allosaccharophila. RNAcentral's name for it is "bacterial SSU rRNA". It matches the Rfam family "Bacterial small subunit ribosomal RNA", at positions 66 to 473 of the family's 1533-position model. The record is from RNAcentral. Lineage: Bacteria; Pseudomonadati; Pseudomonadota; Gammaproteobacteria; Aeromonadales; Aeromonadaceae.